Long non-coding RNA from Lonchura striata (white-rumped munia), 2326 nucleotides. The record is from Ensembl. NCBI's taxonomy places the organism in Eukaryota, Metazoa, Chordata, Aves, Passeriformes, Estrildidae.
CCGCCCCAAAAAUAUACCCAAAAACAGUUAAAAAAUAUACCCAAAAACACUCCAAAAAUAUACCCAAAAAACACCCCCAAAACCCACAAAAAACACCCCAAAAACACCCAAAGAAACCCCAAAAUAUCCCAAAAAACACCCCAGAAAAACCAAAAACCAAAAAAACACCACCCCAAAAUCCCCCAAAAUCCUCAAAAAAAAACAGCCAAAAAACCAUCCCAGUGCUCCCAGUCCCUCCCAGUGCUCCCAGUCCAUCCCAGUGCUCCCAGUCCGUCCCAGUGCUCCCAGUCCAUCCCAGUGCUCCCAGUCCGUCCCAGUGCUCCCAGUCCCUCCCAGUGCUCCCAGUCCCUCCCAGUGCUCCCAGUCCGUCCCAGUGCUCCCAGUCCAUCCCAGUCCUCCCAGUCCCUCCCAGUGCUCCCAGUUACCAACGACGCGCAGGCGCAUCUCGGCCGUGUCCUCCAUGCCCUCGAUGCCAACAGAGCCUGGCAUUCCCAGUGCUCCCAGUGCUCCCAGUUCCCAAUCCCAGUGCUCCCAGUUCCCAAUCCCAGUGCCCAGCCCUGUUCCCUUCACACCAUUCCCAUGUUUCCCAUCCCACCCAGUCACUCCCAGUCCGUCCCAGUGCUCCCAGUUCCCAAUUCCAGUGCCCAGCCCAGUUCCCUUCACACCAUUCCCAUGUUUCCCAUGUCUCCCAUCACUCCCAGUCUCUCCCAGUGCUCCCAGUCCGUCCCAGUGCUCCCAGUGCUCCCAGUCCCCAAUCCCAGUGCCCAGCCCUGUUCCCCUCACACCAUUCCCAUGUUUCCCAUCCCUCCCAGUCCCUCCCAGUUCCCAAUCCCAGUGCUCCCAGUUCCCAAUCCCAAUGCCCAGUCCCAGUUCACCCAGUUCCCCCAGUUGCCGUCCCAUCACUCCCAGUGCUCCCAGUCCUCAAUCCCAGUGCCCAGCCCUGUUCCCUUCUCACCAUUCCCAUGUCUCCCAGUCCCUCCCAGUCCCUCCCAGUGCUCCCAGUCCCCAACCCCAGUGCCCAGCCCUGUUCCCCUCACACCAUUCCCAUGUUUCCCAUCCCUCCCAGUCCCUCCCAGUGCUCCCAGUUACCGACGACGCGCAGGCGCAUCUCGGCCGUGUCCUCCAUGCCCUCGAUGCCAACAGAGGCUGGCAUUCCCAGUGCUCCCAGUGCUCCCAGUUCCCAAUUCCAGUGCCCAGCCCUGUUCCCCUCACACCAUUCCCAUGUUUCCCAUGACUCCCAUCACUCCCAGUCCAUCCCAGUGCUCCCAGUUCCCAAUCCCAAUGCCCAGUCCCAGUUCACCCAGUUCAUCCAGUUGCCAUCCCAUCACUCCCAGUCCUCCCAGUCCAUCCCAGUGCUCCCAGUUCCCAAUCCCAAUGCCCAGUCCCAGUUCACCCAGUUCAUCCAGUUGCCGUCCCAUCACUCCCAGUGCUCCCAGUUCCCAAUCCCAGUGCUCCCAGUUCCCAACCCCAAUGCCCAGAACCAGUUCCCCCAGUUGCCGUCCCAUCACUCCCAGUCCGUCCCACCACUCCCAGUGCUCCCAGUCCCCAACCCCAGUGCCCAGCCCUGUUCCCUUCACACCAUUCCCAUGUCUCCCAGUCCCUCCCAGUCUCUCCCAGUGCUCCCAGUUCCCAAUCCCAAUGCCCAGACCCAGUUCCCCCAGUUGCCGUCCCAUCACUCCCAGUCCCUCCCAGUCCAUCCCAGUGCUCCCAGUCCCCAAUCCCAGUGCCCAGCCCUGUUCCCCUCACACCAUUCCCAUGCUUCCCAUCCCUCCCAGUGCUCCCAGUUACCGACGACGCGCAGGCGCAUCUCGGCCGUGUCCUCCAUGCCCUCGAUGCCAACAGAGCCUGGCAUUCCCAGUCCAUCCCAGUGCUCCCAGUGCUCCCAGUCCCCAACCCCAGUGCCCAUCCCUGUUCCCCUCACACCAUUCCCAUGUUUCCCAUCACUCCCAGUCCCUCCCAGUCCCUCCCAGUGCUCCCAGUUACCGACGACGCGCAGGCGCAUCUCGGCCGUGUCCUCCAUGCCCUCGAUGCGCACGCUGAGCCCGUAGCGCCCCGAGUGCCCCCUGGCGGCGGCGCGGAUGAAGAACACCGUGUCGCGGUCCGACGUGCGCACGUGCACGUCCUCGCCCAGGGGCCCGCCCUCCUUCGUCCACGUGACCUGGGGGCGGGGCUUACCCUGCCGGGGGGCGGGGCUUGGUCAGACCCCAUGGGGGGGGGUGGGGAUGGGGGGUCCCUAUGGGGCUGUGGGGUCCCUAUGGGGCUGUGGGGCUGUGGGGUCCCUAUGGGGCUGUGGGGCUGUGGGGUCCCUAUGGGGCUGGGGUGUCCC